RNAcentral lists this long non-coding RNA (200 nucleotides) under Populus tremula. Its description in RNAcentral is "long non-coding RNA (PTRE_LNC001624)". Lineage: Eukaryota; Viridiplantae; Streptophyta; Magnoliopsida; Malpighiales; Salicaceae. The record is from RNAcentral.
GCUCCCCCACUGGACCUCCAUUUUUCAGACAAACCCCCACAGCCAUAGCUCCCCCCACACACGGCCAAACAGCCCCAAACAGCCCCCAAACCCCCCGGUUUAUUUUUUCUUCUUCUUCCUCUUCUCCAGCCGGCUGGUCAAGCCACACAACCCCCACACAUCCAUCUUUUUCCCUGCGAUCCAGCCCUUUUUUUACUCCC